Molecule: ribosomal RNA, 460 nt
Filed under: uncultured bacterium
Lineage: Bacteria
Description: partial 16S ribosomal RNA
Rfam family: Bacterial small subunit ribosomal RNA
Source: RNAcentral
CCUACGGGAGGCAGCAGUGAGGAAUAUUGGUCAAUGGACGAGAGUCUGAACCAGCCAAGUAGCGUGAAGGAUGACUGCCCUAUGGGUUGUAAACUUCCUUUAUAUGGGAAUAAAAUGUUCCACGUGUGGGCUUUUGUAUGUACCAUAUGAAUAAGGAUCGGCUAACUCCGUGCCAGCAGCCGCGGUAAUACGGAGGAUCCGAGCGUUAUCCGGAUUUUUUGGGUUUAAAGGGGGCGUAGGUGGGUUGUUAAGUCAGUUGUGAAAGUUUGCGGCUCAAACGUAAAAUUGCAGUUGAAACUGGCGGUCUUGAGUACGGUAGAGGUGGGCGGAAUUCGUGGUGUAGCGGUGAAAUGCUUAGAUAUCACGAAGAACUCCGAUUGCGAAGGCAGUUCACUGGACUGCAACUGACACUGAGGCUCGAAAGUGUGGGUAUCGAACAGGAUUAGAUACCCGGGUAGUC